GUUGUUUGCCUUCGAUUUCGGCAGUCAAAGAUAUCUGAAAGUCCAUAACACUACAAAAGGAAAGGUAGCGGUCCAACAUAGUGUUACAUCCCACCUCAUCAUUCCAUCAUUCACCAACAAAGGGCCAAUACUGCUCCGGUGGAUGGUCUGUAAAGAAAAAUGAGAACAUGUGGAGAUAAAGAUGGAAUGGAGUUAGAGACUUUCUUCUAUAAAUAGUUGGGAGAAGGUUUUAUUACUCAUACCUUUGGGCUUGAAAGGGAGUUAAGGAUGAGGAGGAACACCUUGGUUGCCCUUGUCACUUGGCUCAUGGUGGUGGCCUUCUUUGUGGCCACUGCAACUGCUGCUGCACAAAUGAAGGCUAUGGAGCAUGAGAUCGAUUCGCUGCGUAAGCCUCCAUGCUAUGUUCUUGUAACACACUUAAGGCAGCUAGUGGAGUAGUAAAUUUCUCUUUGAUUAUUCCUGCUUGGAUUGAACGCGCAAUGCUAAUUGUGAAGAUAAAAACUAGAAGAAUUCUCAACUUUCAGCAGAAAGAUCACUCACCACUCACCACAACAUUGAUUAUUGUUACUAAAACAAGAUAGUUUUGAGAUUUUUUUUGCCGUUAAACUUGUCUUAGCUGUUCUUAUUCUUAUAUUCUUCCUUCUUUGUUGGGAGACUUGACGACCGUUUUUCCCCCUCAAUCACUGAAGCAUG
RNAcentral lists this long non-coding RNA (693 nucleotides) under Elaeis guineensis (African oil palm). Its description in RNAcentral is "long non-coding RNA (EGUI_LNC031459)". The record is from RNAcentral. Lineage: Eukaryota; Viridiplantae; Streptophyta; Magnoliopsida; Arecales; Arecaceae.